CGCGUAGGUGGUUUGAUAAGCGAGAUGUGAAAGCCCCGGGCUUAACCUGGGAACGGCAUUUCGAACUGUCAGGCUAGAGUAUGGUAGAGGAGUGUGGAAUUUCCUGUGUAGCCGUGAAAUGCGUAGAUAUAGGAAGGAACACCAGUGGCGAAGGCGGCACUCUGGACCAAUACUGACACUGAGGUGCGAAAGCGUGGGGAGCAAACA
RNAcentral lists this ribosomal RNA (207 nucleotides) under uncultured bacterium. RNAcentral describes it as "partial 16S ribosomal RNA". It matches the Rfam family "Bacterial small subunit ribosomal RNA", at positions 568 to 774 of the family's 1533-position model. The record is from RNAcentral.